Molecule: non-coding RNA, 94 nt
Filed under: bovine gut metagenome
Description: THF riboswitch
Rfam family: THF (Tetrahydrofolate) riboswitch aptamer
About the family: THF riboswitch presents a pseudoknot that joins P1-P2 and the loop of P3 and two THF binding.
Source: RNAcentral
CAGAGUAGAUUUUAAGGCGUAAAGUGCCGCGUGAACGGGGAGUUGUCACGCGGACGAAGCGGUUUCCGCGCGGUCUUAAAGUCGCAUCCCGCUG